GUUUGAGCAAGAGAGACAGAAAAGAACAUGAUGAAUGGAAGAAAAUAGAGAAGGUAAAGAUAAAAAGAGAAAAAGGGAGAUACCAAGAAACCCACCAGUGGGUUUAGAAAAAUAGAAAGUAACAAUUUUAAAAGAAGGCCUAGGGUUUUAGGUGUGGAGUAUCUGUCUCAUUGGAGUUAUAAAAGACCAAAUAAGGCAAGAGAAGA
Molecule: unclassified non-coding RNA, 206 nt
Filed under: Hevea brasiliensis (rubber tree)
Lineage: Eukaryota; Viridiplantae; Streptophyta; Magnoliopsida; Malpighiales; Euphorbiaceae
Source: RNAcentral